Long non-coding RNA from Tetranychus urticae (two-spotted spider mite), 1531 nucleotides. RefSeq lists it as uncharacterized. The record is from RefSeq and is a predicted model, not a curated record. NCBI's taxonomy places the organism in Eukaryota, Metazoa, Arthropoda, Arachnida, Trombidiformes, Tetranychidae.
CGAUAUCCUUUAUUGUUUUUGAAACAAAGCUGACAAUUUUGAGCCAAUUUUUAACCUUAAAUAAUUGAAUAAUUCAAUCAACUCGUUAAUGUAAAAUAGAUGUUAAAUUUAAUGGAUUUUAUGUUUCAGUACAUUAAUUACAGUUUUAUUGAAAUUUGUCGUGUUGUCAUUUAAAUUAAUUGACGAAUUUAUCUCUUAAGCUUCUGAAUCAAAUUUUGGUAAAGAAGUCCAUUAAGAAAUCAAGAUUUAUCAAAAUUGUCAGGAUUGACCCAGGAAAAGAAGAGAUUGGCGAAAUCUAAAAGACUCUGACAAGAAAUAAUCUCAAUGUUUACCUUUUCGAGUUGAAUUCUGUCGGAUUAACCUCAAACAAAAGGACUUGAUAUGGUUUCAAUGAUGGACAAUAUUUAUGAUCCUUUGUCUUUUAAUCUGGCAAAUCUUGUUUCUCAUUUCGGCUCAACCUGUUCAUUUUUGUUAACCUUCACCUCAUCCAUCGCUGAUUUAAUGUCCAAACUAUCUUCUCUAGGUAACCAACAGAUCUGACCAGCUCUCACAGACCUACAAGAGCAACCUAAUUGUAUUCAAACACUGUGAUAUAAGGGGAACAGUUUAUCAAGCUCAUCAAUACCUAAACUAUGUUCAUUUAUGAGAUUCAAGGUUGAUUGUGAUAGGCCAAUAUACGAAGAUACAGAUGACAACAACAUAGCAACAAAGAAAUGAAUACUUCAACCAAUUAAGCUCAACAUAGCAAUGAACUUUAGAAGAAUCCUUUUUUUCAACAUUUCAAUUGUUUCCAUUGAUGGUAAAUUGACUAUUAAUAUUAGAAGUAAUACAAAGCAAACUCAAUUAGUUAUCCCAUCAAUAAUCAAAUUCAAUUGUAACUCUAAUUAGAGAAGCUCAAUUUAGCUUAAGUUCCUUUCAUCAAAUCAACACAUAAAUCACUUUUGAUGUAAAUUAGUUGAUCACUUGUAAGUUAAAAGACAAAGCAACGCCAGCAUCGAACAAAAAAACGCUCUUUUGAAUAAUUGAAACAAUUAAGGAUAAUUAUUAUUGACAAGAAUCACAAGGACAAUUUAUGUGAAGCAAAAAUGUAUUUGAUGUGAAAACAAGUAUUGCCAUUAAACAGAAGAAAAAAAAAGUUUAAAAAAUGCAUGAAAAUGCAAGCAAUUUGAAACUGAAUCAUGGCAGGAUAGUUAGGAUGAUGAUGAGAGACAAUUAAGUCAUUUAGCAAGCUGUUAAUGAGAGGUAAUAUAACCAACAACAAUUGAUUACAUGAUAAUAUGUUUAAAAAUGUAAUACAUAACAAUCAUUUCCAAAGUGAACCUGUAUUCAUUUGCUAACCAACAUUACUGUCUUUUUCUGGCUCUCACUAAAUUGUCCAUUUAUCAUGUAUAAAUAUAGUUAACUGUUCAAACUACUCAAUCGGUUGAAUCUUUUCAACUCAUUCUUUAUACAAUUGUUACCCAUUUCAAUCCAUUUUCAACUCUUUUUUCCCCAUUUAUUUUAAAGUAAAAACUAUUUUCUUUCUUAUGAA